UGUCAAGUUGGAUUGAAAUGAAGAGUUUGAAUUAGGAAUAAAAUCACAUGGCUGAAAAUUUACACACACAACCACCCAAAAAUGGUCAUCCAUGGGUAUGACCUUGAAAAUGGAACCCCGUGGCACUGGCACAAAAAGAAUCGUCUGAUGUUUACUGCUACGCAGCUACGACCUUCAGCGCCAUUCAUUUGUCAGAAUUUGUGGAAAUUCACCUACAGAGAAAAGGUACCAAAACACAUAUAGUCAAGGAAUUUAUUCAUCAAGGGACUUCAAGACAGCCAUUCAUUGCUGAACAAUCUGAUCAGCCUCUUCAUUCAUUAAUGGACCCAAGAGUUUUCCGAAUGAAUUGGUUCAUUGUCAACAUGAAAGUUAUCAACACAGAUUACGAAUCUUAUUACCAACAUGCAGAUUCAACGUCCCCAGGGAAAUUCAUAAAAUACCAGGAGCAAGCAUAUAGUUUUAGCGAGUUUAGAGGAAAGUAUCAUUUGAUUCCAAUUUCGAUGUGGGAAAAAUACACGUGGGUAAGAUAUAUUCAAUAUUAGGACAUGCCAAAUUGACAGUUACCAGUUGUUCGGCUGCCAUAAUCAAAAUCAUGUUGGAUAAACUUACUAUGUUGUGCUAAUUUCAUAAUUUUCAUUAUGUCUCCAAUUACAUCUGGGUUUCGGGCAAACAAUUACUUUCCGAAUGAAAUGUUUUAUAGAUACAAGCAUGUAUUACAUGAAUACACAAUAUCUACUUUAAAAAAUUUAACUAUUCAAAAUUGAUUAUUUUACGUGAGAAAAAUUAAGUUGAAAAGCGCCACCUCGACGGUUGUCCUAAUGUAAACUUCGAAAAUACUUUCCUAAGUUACGGUCCAUGCAUUAGAAGGAGGCUAUAUUUCGGCAUCGACUGAAUAUAGAUUUGCUAACCUUUAGAAGGUAGUUGCAGAGUAAAACGUAUGUAACAAUUGGAAUCGGAGCUUUUAUUCUAAAAUAUAUGAAAUUAUGAAUGCAUAUAUUUUAUUAAAGUAACAGUUUCUUUAUUA
Molecule: long non-coding RNA, 1024 nt
Organism: Ostrea edulis (European flat oyster)
Lineage: Eukaryota; Metazoa; Mollusca; Bivalvia; Ostreida; Ostreidae
Exons: 2
Source: RefSeq, a predicted model, not a curated record